This 797-nucleotide ribosomal RNA is filed under the name uncultured Staphylococcus sp. RNAcentral describes it as "bacterial SSU rRNA". It matches the Rfam family "Bacterial small subunit ribosomal RNA", at positions 77 to 858 of the family's 1533-position model. Lineage: Bacteria; Bacillati; Bacillota; Bacilli; Caryophanales; Staphylococcaceae. The record is from RNAcentral.
AGCUUGCUUCUCUGAUGUUAGCGGCGGACGGGUGAGUAACACGUGGAUAACCUACCUAUAAGACUGGGAUAACUUCGGGAAACCGGAGCUAAUACCGGAUAAUAUUUUGAACCGCAUGGUUCAAAAGUGAAAGACGGUCUUGCUGUCACUUAUAGAUGGAUCCGCGCUGCAUUAGCUAGUUGGUAAGGUAACGGCUUACCAAGGCAACGAUGCAUAGCCGACCUGAGAGGGUGAUCGGCCACACUGGAACUGAGACACGGUCCAGACUCCUACGGGAGGCAGCAGUAGGGAAUCUUCCGCAAUGGGCGAAAGCCUGACGGAGCAACGCCGCGUGAGUGAUGCAGGUCUUCGGAUCGUAAAGCUCUGUUAUUAGGGAAGAACAUAUGUGUAAGUAACUGUGCACAUCUUGACGGUACCUAAUCAGAAAGCCACGGCUAACUACGUGCCAGCAGCCGCGGUAAUACGUAGGUGGCAAGCGUUAUCCGGAAUUAUUGGGCGUAAAGCGCGCGUAGGCGGUUUUUUAAGUCUGAUGUGAAAGCCCACGGCUCAACCGUGGAGGGUCAUUGGAAACUGGAAAACUUGAGUGCAGAAGAGGAAAGUGGAAUUCCAUGUGUAGCGGUGAAAUGCGCAGAGAUAUGGAGGAACACCAGUGGCGAAGGCGACUUUCUGGUCUGUAACUGACGCUGAUGUGCGAAAGCGUGGGGAUCAAACAGGAUUAGAUACCCUGGUAGUCCACGCCGUAAACGAUGAGUGCUAAGUGUUAGGGGGUUUCCGCCCCUUAGUGCUGCAGCUAACGC